RNAcentral lists this ribosomal RNA (774 nucleotides) under uncultured Neocallimastigales. RNAcentral describes it as "partial large subunit ribosomal RNA". It matches the Rfam family "Eukaryotic large subunit ribosomal RNA", at positions 18 to 622 of the family's 3401-position model. Lineage: Eukaryota; Fungi; Neocallimastigomycota; Neocallimastigomycetes; Neocallimastigales. The record is from RNAcentral.
UCAGACGAUGCGUCAUGCAUAUCAAUAAGCGGAGGAAAAGAAACUAACAAGGAUUCCCUUAGUAACGGCGAGUGAAGCGGGAAGAGCUCAAAUUUGAAAUCUUCAAGGUUUUACCUUGACGAAUUGUAGUUUAAAGAAGUGUUUUCUGUUGAAGUUUUGGUAAAAGUUCUUUGGAAUAGGACAUCAUAGAGGGUGAGAAUCCCGUAUUUGACCAUUAUUUUCAGCUUUGUGAUACACUUUCAAAGAGUCGGAUUGUUUGGGAAUGCAGUCCAAAAUGGGUGGUAAAUUUCAUCUAAAGCUAAAUAUUGGCGAGAGACCGAUAGCGAACAAGUACCGUGAGGGAAAGAUGAAAAGAACUUUGAAAAGAGAGUUAAACAGUACGUGAAAUUGUCAAAAGGGAAGCGUUUGACACCAGUGUUGUUUUCUCGAAAAUCAAUUAAAAAGAGUUAGAUUUUGUUGUGUAUUGACCUUAACAGCUUGCAUUUCAAUUUUCUUGCUUUUUUUAAUGCACUUUUCGUUUAACAAGUCAACAUCAGUUUCUUUUGUUGUAAAAAGGUCAUUGGAAGGUGGCUUUCUUUUCGGAGAAAGUGUUUAUAGCCUUUGACUCCUGCAAUCGGAGAGACUGAGGUCUGCAGCGUAGAUCCUUCGGGGUUAGAUACAUUUGUGCUAAGUUAUAGCUUUUUAUAGACAACUUGUUGACUAUAAUUAGUCUUGUAGCUUACUCGCUUAUGCUAUUUUACCUACGCUUAGGAUGUUGAGUCGUAGAGCACGCAG